GCUUUAGUAGCUUAUA
Molecule: transfer RNA, 16 nt
Filed under: Arizona elegans occidentalis
Lineage: Eukaryota; Metazoa; Chordata; Lepidosauria; Squamata; Colubridae
Description: partial tRNA-Thr
Source: RNAcentral